CCUGGGAGGCAGCAGUGAGGAAUAUUGGUCAAUGGGCGCGAGCCUGAACCAGCCAAGUCGCGUGAGGGAUGAAGGUUCUAUGGAUCGUAAACCUCUUUUAUAAGGGAAUAAAGUGUGGGACGUGUCCUAUUUUGUAUGUACCUUAUGAAUAAGGAUCGGCUAACUCCGUGCCAGCAGCCGCGGUAAUACGGAGGAUCCGAGCGUUAUCCGGAUUUAUUGGGUUUAACGGGUGCGUAGGCGGCCUUUUAAGUCAGCGAGGAAAGUCUGUGGCUCAACCAUAGAAUUGCCGUUGAAACUGGGGGGCUUGAGUAUGUUUGAGGCAGGCGGAAUGCGUGGUGUAGCGGUGAAAUGCUUAGAUAGCACGCAGAACCCCGAUUGCGAAGGCAGCCUGCCAAGCCAUGACUGACGCUGAUGCACGAAAGCGUGGGGAUCAAACAGGAUUAGAUACCCUGGUAGUC
RNAcentral lists this ribosomal RNA (458 nucleotides) under uncultured bacterium. RNAcentral describes it as "partial 16S ribosomal RNA". It matches the Rfam family "Bacterial small subunit ribosomal RNA", at positions 338 to 795 of the family's 1533-position model. The record is from RNAcentral.